UUGCGCCAAAUAGGAGGUCCAAGGGUGCAUACACUCCCCUUUACUAUGAUUUCUAUGUACCUACAUAUUGCCAAGGGAGAGCUACAGACACUGUAGCUGUGUGGUAAAUCUCUUUUACAGCACAGGCAGUGGUAUGGUACAAACACUACUUAUUUAGACCACACAGCACUGACUUGCAUUAAGUAAAUUCAUGCAAACUAUGGCUUGCUUCUUAUUCUCUUUCACAAGGUUGGUUAUUCCUGCAGGAGGCAGCAAGCUUUGUGCUCAGUAAGUUUGGUGUGGAAGUUGCUCAUUGCAGAAGAUGGAUGAUAAUGGGUGGAUGGGAUAUGGUUUUGUUCUUCCCAGGUGCUGCCUCUCCCUCACAGCUGCCAGACACUUGCGUGUGCCCCUUUGGCAGUGCUAUCGGCAUUAUACAGCCCAAGAUUUUAAAAAAUCAUGAACGAGACAUUUCUCCAAAUCAAAACAUGGACAGUGAAUUAGAUUAAAUGAAAUAAAGGGAAGGUUCAUUUCCCCUCAGUACUAAAGGAAUGCCAUGUCCAGGUUUGAGCACUGGGCCUCAAGAAAGAUGUGAAAAAAAUGAAGAGGGAAGGCAGUCUUCGUAAUUAAAGGUCUUGAAAACAUGAUUAAUGAGGAAAUGCUGGAAAAAAACACUGCACUCCAUCGCCAUGGCAGGUAAAACAAAAAAAAAAUGGUUUUAAAUUGCAGCAAGAACAGUUUAGGCUAGCUAUCAGAAAGCAUUUUGUUAUAGCAGGGCUGCUCUAAGUGGUGGAGUGGAUUGUCUUGGCAGGCGGUGCACUCCUCAGUGUGGAAGGUGCUUAUGAGCAGCUUGGACGAACAUGCAUCAGAAAUGACACCAACAUAACUAACACAGCCUCGAAGAAGCCAGACUGACUGCAAAUGAAGUCCACUAUUCAACUGGGAAGGAACUGAGCGAUUCAUAAUGAAAAGGCUGUGAUUUCUGUAUUUCAGCAAGAAGCGAGCUUCCGAGACACAAGCCUGGCUUGCAUACAUCCAUUGCAUACAUCCAUUGCAUACAUCCAGGCUGGACUGGGCUCAGAGUGUCCCCAGGUCCUGUGUGCAAUUUCUGUGUCAGCAGAAAGCCACCCUGGUUUGUGGGACACACCUUUUCCUAUUGAGGGAGGGCAUGUACAUUGGUGUUUUCCUGCCUGACAUUUCCUUUGGCAUAUCACGUGUUUUUCUGCAAGCUAAUUGCAUGCAAUAGCUUGUGCUACAGUAUGCAAGGCUCUCUGUCCAUGGAAAGUAUCUUCAUUUAAACUAAUAAUGUGGAGCCUCGAUGUGAGCUGACACUCACUUUUAAUUACUGUUGGCCAAUUCACCCCCGCUAUGCUGAAGCAAGCCUAACCUGCUCUGCACCACAGGAGUCAGCAAGAGGAUGUUGCAGUGAUAAAGGGGAGAAGAAAGGGGGUGAACCCUGAUUCGAUGGAGGGACAGGAGAGUGCAGUUGUCAUUAGAGAUGUGAGUUUGGGAACGUUUUUAUCUCUCCCGCUUUCCACAGCAGCAAGUCCUGCACCACAGCCAAUGAGCGAAGCACACUGCAGACUUGCCCUCCUCUCUUUCCAAAAUCCUCAUGGUGCUGUCAAGAACUACAGCAAACAGGGUACAUCCACUUCUCGAGCAGAACUGUCUGGAGACAGGAAGAGCCUUCUGAGAGGGUCUGAGCAGAGCAGUGGGGAUUAAAAGGAACUUGUGGCCCAUGUGAGGUGAGGCUCCUCGGAGGAGAAGACAGCCUGUGACUGGGAACAGAGGACAAGAGGGCAGGAGAGACAGGAGUGCCAAAGGGAUUUUCACAUGAGGAUUUCUUGGCUUUUUUCACUAUUUAUUUUUCUUGAAUCGUAGAAUCACAGAAUCAUUUUGGCUGGAAGACACCCUCAUGAUCAUCAAGUCCAACUAUUAACAUAACACUGGCAUUCAACCACGUCCCUAAGAACCUCAUCUACACAUCUUUUAAACACCUCCAGGGACAGAGACUCAACCACUUCACUGGGCAGCCUGUUGCAGUGAUUGACAACCCUUUCCAUGAAGAAAUUUUUCCUAAUAUCCAAUCUAAACCUCCCUUGGCACAACUUGAGGACGUUUGCUCUUGUCCUAUCACUUGCUACUUGGGAGAAGAGACCACCACCUUCCAUGCUACAGCCUCCUUUCAGGUAGUUGUGGACAGUGAUAAGGUCUCCCCUCAGCCUCCUUUUCUCCAGGCUAAAGAGCCACCGUUCCGUCAACCACUCCUCGUAAGACUUGUACCCUUUCAAAAUAGAGGGGUUUUCUUGCUCAGCACAUGAUGAAUUUGCCUUGUCCCAAGCUGCAGGGCGCUUGGGGAUAGAGCCUGCCAGCAGCACUGCCUGGGCCGUCUUGCCAGGAGGGUAAAGCAAAGCCUGACCUCUUAUAUAGCAACCGGAGCAGGGAGCUGCUUGGGACACACGUAAUCACCCAGCAUGGAACGUGGGCAGGCCAGCGGGGUUACCACCUCUGCUCCAGGGAGAACUGGGAAGAAAUCUUAGUUAAUAUAAAACUGCAAUCUUUGUCACCCCUGAGUCUGACCCACCUGAGAGGCAGUGCAUGCGUUUAGCUGCUGGAGCAGAGCCUCAGCAGAUACACGGAGGCUUCUAUACAGAGCACGCCUUUUGUGCCGACUCCAAGGGAAUAAUGUCACCUACCCAGGCACCAGCUCCACUUUCCACAGAGCCUGAGUUUUUCCUUAGAAGUUUCCUAUUCAAGAGCUUAGCCUGACCAGGUCUGACCUUGCUUAGCUUAAGAGAUGUAACAAGAUCACUGCCUGAGGUGUGAAAUGACACUGGAAUGGAGGUCAUGAUCUUCUGAAGAGCAUCUUCUUCCUCUGCUGCGACAUCUCCUCCUGGUUCCCCUGCCCCAGCAUCCAACUAAUCAGGCAGAAACAAAUGCAUCACGCUUCUAGCACUCCACUGGCAGAAUAUAAAAAUCUGCCCUUUCGGCUAUUCAGCCAUCUCAGUGGUACAGACAUUUUUUUAAUGUAUAUGAAUCCAAAGAUCAAGCAGUUCAUUUUUUAGGUUUGGUGGCGUGGUUUUUUUUUGUUUUUUUGUUUUUCUUUUGUCACUACUUCAGCAGAAACAAAAAAUGUUUUCUAUAGCUCUAUCUCUGCAAGAUGCCAAAACAGAUUAACAGACAGACGAACAGACAGUGUCUUUUAAGCAAUGUGGACAGCACACCAAAUCAAUCAUUCUGAAUGAAUAAUACAUUUAAGAGCUGCAGCAAUAUGAACAGCAGAAAAUUCAUCUGCAUCUACAGUGAAACUACCUGGACCCAUUUCAAGAUGGAAUAUUCUGCAGAAAGCACAGAAGGCAGUUUUAUUUUGAUAUUUCAGAUACCAUAAGAAUGAAUUUGUGCAUAUGUCAAUCUGUUGCGUGCUAGACAGGGAUGGUUCUGUGAACGGACAUUACAAUGUAAAACUUUAGAUUGAGCUAUGGAGAAUACACAGUUUUUUAUUUACAGAGCAUUAGAAUAGCACGAUCUACAAAAAACAUUCAUAAGGGACUUCUAUGAACUGCUAUGAAAAAGCUUCUUUUGUAGGGAGCCAUGGGCUGUAUAAUGUUUUUAUUGUGAUGCGGUGAAGAAUGAGCUUUAGAAGCAAUCUUAGCAGGAUAAACGUGAAGAUAAAUUAAGCCUGAAUAAAAAAAAAAAGCAUUGAAAUUCAA
Long non-coding RNA from Columba livia (rock pigeon), 3686 nucleotides. RefSeq lists it as uncharacterized. NCBI's taxonomy places the organism in Eukaryota, Metazoa, Chordata, Aves, Columbiformes, Columbidae. The transcript is spliced from 3 exons. The record is from RefSeq and is a predicted model, not a curated record.